UGGGGAAUUUUGCACAAUGGGGGGAACCUUGAUGCAGCGACGCCGCGUGAGGGAUGGAGGCCUUCGGGUUGUGAACCUCUUUCGCUCGUGUGCAAGCCGCUAUUUGGGUAGUGGUGAGUGUAGCGGGUAAAGAAGCGCCGGCUAACUACGUGCCAGCAGCCGCGGUAAUACGUAGGGCGCGAGCGUUGUCCGGAUUUAUUGGGCGUAAAGGGCUUGUAGGCGGUUUGUCGCGCCUGUCGUGUAAUCCUCUGGCUUAACUGGGGGUGUGCGGUGGGUACGGGCAAGGUUGAGUGCGGUAGGGGAGAUUGGAAUUCCUGGUGUAGCGGUAGAAUGCGCAGAUAUCAGGAGGAACACCGGUGGCGAAGGCGGGUCUCUGGGCCGUUACUGACGCUGAGGAGCGAAAGCGUGGGGAGCGAACAGG
This 421-nucleotide ribosomal RNA is filed under the name Fusobacteriota bacterium. Its description in RNAcentral is "Fusobacteria bacterium partial 16S ribosomal RNA". It matches the Rfam family "Bacterial small subunit ribosomal RNA", at positions 355 to 776 of the family's 1533-position model. Lineage: Bacteria; Fusobacteriati; Fusobacteriota. The record is from RNAcentral.